Molecule: long non-coding RNA, 3784 nt
Filed under: Olea europaea subsp. europaea
Lineage: Eukaryota; Viridiplantae; Streptophyta; Magnoliopsida; Lamiales; Oleaceae
Source: RNAcentral
GUACCAACAGAGAUGAUAAUGACAGAGGUCGUUCAAUUUUUUCCUCUAAAAUGGCAAAACUUGAGUUUCCUCGUUAUUCCGGCGACGAUCCUACUGAGUGGUUGAACUGAGUUAGUCAGUUUCUUGAGUAUCAAGGCACUCCGGAAGCACAAAAGGUAUCCUUGGCAUCAUUUCACCUUUAAGUUGAAGCCAACCAAUGGUGGCAAUGGUUGCACCGAGCAUACAAAGAGGAUGAGCGAUUGGUGACAUGGGAAAUUUUUGAGGAAGAGCUGUGGGCUCGUUUUGGACCUACAGAAUGUGAAGACUUUGACGAAGCACUAUCACGGGUCAAACAGGUAGGUUCCUUGCGAGACUACCAAAAGGAGCUCAAGAGGUUGGGCAACCGAGUGCACGGGUGGACGCAAAAGGCAUUAGUAGGAACAUUUAUGGGAGGUCUCAAGGCUGAAAUAGCGGGAGGCAUACGAAUGUUCAAGUCAAAGUCACUGAAGGAAGCCAUUAGUCUCGCACGCAUGCGAGAUGACCAACUUCUUCGUCAGAGGAGAUUUAUGCGACCACAGCCACUCAGUCGGCCACACUCCAACCUUCCUGUUCCAGCAAAGCCCAACUUAACAUCUCCAGUAAAACGCUUGACAUGGGAGGAAAUGCAAAAGAGAAGAGCUCAAGCUCUUUGUUUUAAUUGUAACGACAAGUCUACUGUGGGUCAUAAAUGCCGAAGCCCACUAAUCUUGCUGCUAGAAGGAAGCAACAUCAAUAUCAAGUUUGAAGAGGUUCUUGAUAACGAGACAGAAGUGCCCAUAACUGAUCUCCAACCUGAACCAGAGAUAUCACUACACGCUUUAACUGGAUGGUCAACUUCUAGAACCAUGAUAGUCAUGGCCAGAAUCGGACAUUAUGAGGUGGUUGUCCUCAUUGACAGUGGUUUCACCCACAACUUCGUUAGUGAGAAGGUAGCUAAUUUAUUAAAAUUACCUGUGGUUCCAACCGGGCCAUUCAAUGUGAAAGUAGCUAACGGGAAUCCAUUGAAGUGCCAAGGGAGAUUUGAGCAUGUGCAGGUUUUACUUCAGGGUAUCCCUUUCUCUCUUACUCUCUAUUCAUUGCCACUAACUGGGCUAAUGGUUGGAGCAACUGGGAACGGUGGUCUGCAAUUGGAAAAAAAUGACAAUGGAAUUCCAGUGGAAAAAUAAAGCUCAAAAGCUACAAGGAACCGAUACAUCACCUAUUCAAUCCGAAUCCUUAAAGGCGAUUUCGAAGGAACUACGACAAGGAAAUUCUAUGUUUGCUAUUUGCCUACAGAACGCGGCAGAUGAACCACAACAUGAUUUACAUCCAGAUAUGCAAAACUUGAAGAAAGCCUAUGAGGACAUUUUUCAAGAGCCAAAGCAAUUGCCUCCAGCAAGAGAAAUUGAUUACCGCAUCACUCUAAAAGAAGGAACCGAGCCUAUCAACGUAAGAUCCUACAGGUAUGCCUAUUUUCAAAAAGCUGAAAUUGAAAAACAAGUUCACGACAUGUUAAAAUUGGGGCUUAUAAAAUCAAGUACUAGUCCUUUUUUGUCUCAUGUUUUAUUGGUUAAAAAGAAAGAUGGCACAUGGCGCUUCUGUACCGACUAUAGAGCCCUUAAUGCUGUAACCAUCAAAGAUCGGUUUCCAAUUCCCACAGUUGAUGAUAUGCUAGAUGAAAUCCAUGGGACAUCUUACUUCACUAAACUAGAUUUAAAAGCUGGCUACCAUCAGGUACGGGUACAUCCUCUAGACGUUCCUAAACUGCUUUUCGUACUCAUAAUGGUCAUUUCGAAUAUUAAGUCAUGCAUUUUCGUCUAUGUAAUGCCCCAUCUACUUUUCAAGCCAUUAUGAACUCCAUAUUCCGACCUUAUCUUCGCAAAUUUGUGUUAGUCUUUUUUGAUGACAUUUUGAUUUAUAGCCCCAAUUCAACCUUGCAUCUUGAACAUGUUAAACAAGCUUUUGAAAUAUUAAGGCAACACCAUUUUUUUGCUAAAAUCUGCAAAUGUGCAUUUGGUCAGCAAGAGUUGGAAUACUUGAGUCAUAUUGUUACUUCUCAAGGAGUAAAAGUAGAUCAAGGAAAAAUUAAAGAAAUGCCACAUUGGCCUAGGCCUAGGCCUACUAAUAUUUCUGAAUUGCAUGGAUUAUUAGGCCUUACAGGCUACUACAAGAAGUUUGUUCGUAAUUAUGGCAUAUUGGCUCGACCCCUGACCAAUCUGUUAAAAAAGGGACAGUUCAGAUGGACAGAAGAGGCUGAAAUUGCAUUCCAAGCUCUCAAACAAGCUAUGACAUCCACCCCUACACUUGUUAUGCCUAACUUUAAGGAGCCUUUUGUUAUAGAAUCUGAUGCUUCAGGGGAUGGAAUUGGUGCAGUUCUAACUCAACAAGGAAAGCCAAUUGCAUUCAUAAGCCGAGCCUUGGGGAUGUCCAAACGAUCAUGGUCCACAUAUGCUAGAGAGAUGUUGGCCAUUGUUCAAGCUAUCAGAACUUGGAGACCAUAUUAGUUAGGACGAAAGUUUUAUAUUCAGACAGAUCAACGCAGCCUCAAAUACUUAAUGGAGCAACGCAUAGCAACACCAGAAAAACAAACAUGGGUGGCUAAGUUGCUUGGAUAUGACUAUGAAAUAAUAUACAAACCGGGCAGGGAAAAUUCAGCAGCAGAUGCGCUAUCAAGAAGGGUAAGCAGCCCUAGGCUCGAUGCUUUAUUUGUUUCACAGGCUCAUUUAUGGAAUGAAAUUAAAGUUGAAGCUGUUGGAAGGACAUGGAGAAAACUGGCAGGUUGGCAACUGAAAAACCAGGUGUUCCUUACACAUGGCGAAAUGGACUGGUGUGCUAUAAAAACAGAGUGGUGGUACCUCCAAAUUCUCAAAUAAUCAAGCAACUCUUGCGAGAAUUCCAUGAUUCUCAAUUCGGUGGACAUUCUGGGGUGUUACGGACAUAUAAACGACUUGCACAACAAUUCUAUUGGCCAUCUAUGUAUCAGGAAGUGCAAGACUACGUCUCUUCUUGUGAUAUAUGUCAACGAGUUAAGUCACUGCUUAAAAAGAAAUUGGGCGAAUCCAACUCCACUACUGUUGAAUUACCUCUUAUUGAUGAUGAUGGAGGAAUUAUCAUGGAACCCGAAGCCAUCUUGGAUACACGUUGGGUAAAGAAAGGAUCACGUUUUGUUGAAGAAAAUCUUGUCAAGUGGAAAUGACUACCUGUGGACGAUGCCACUUGGGAAAAUGCUCAAGAAUUGCAAGAUAAGUUCAUAAACAUGGACCUUGAGGACAAGGUUCCAGUAAAAGAAGGGGGUAUUGAUAAACCAAGACGAUCACAACAUGUUCCCAUCAAGAAUCCAAGGUUUAUAGUAUGAGGUUCUGUUAGACAUGCUGGAUACGUGGAUCGUGGAAGAAUGGAUUGGAGCUGUUGAGGAAUUGCUGGCAAAGUUCCAUUAGUCCAAUACUUGUUAUCUAUUAUUUUGUUAUUUGGGUAAUUGUUAGUUAUUAAUUUACGUGUAGUUGUGGAGUCCUUACUUUAAGAGUAGAGGUCGAAGUUUCCGGAAGGCAGUUUUUCUUUAUGUAUUUAAACUCCUCCAGUUGCAGUAAGAUGGGGGUAUUGAAAAUAAAAUUAUUGUGGUUCAUUCUCAACCUAAAUAGAAUUCUAUCUACGCUGCCAUUAUAAUAGCUUUGACUGGAACCUAUCAUGAAUUUACACCUAUAUCUGCCUGAGAGUCUUCCAGAUCAAGAGCAGAUGCUAGGAGGCUUGCUGGGACACAAGCAAAUUGAAACUGUUAAACAAUCCAAAG